GGGAUGGGAUUGGAAUCGAACCCACGACCUUCCGCUUACCGGGCAGAUGCCAUGACCACUAGGCUACCCUGGAC
Non-coding RNA from Cordylochernes scorpioides, 74 nucleotides. The record is from the annotation of a GenBank genome assembly. NCBI's taxonomy places the organism in Eukaryota, Metazoa, Arthropoda, Arachnida, Pseudoscorpiones, Chernetidae.